RNAcentral lists this unclassified non-coding RNA (593 nucleotides) under Hevea brasiliensis (rubber tree). The record is from RNAcentral. Lineage: Eukaryota; Viridiplantae; Streptophyta; Magnoliopsida; Malpighiales; Euphorbiaceae.
GUAAAUUCUCUGAACGGGAAAAUUGAAAAAAAAAAAAUUUGUUGGCAGGUUUCAGACAUGAUUAGUGUUUUGUUUUCGCUUUUGUUUGUUGAAAUGGCACUGAUUCUAGCCCUUUUGUUUAGAACCCCUCUAAGAAAUCUAUUGGUAGUAGGGAUAGAUAAGUUGAAGCGAGGAAGAGGUCCAUUGGUGGCAAAAACUGUCGCAGCGACCUUGCUUGUGGUGUUUAGUGCUAUCUUGUAUAGUGUAAUGGAAAUUCGGAAACGUGCUCUGGAGGCUGGUGUGGUUAAUUCAACUGAUGAGGUUCUCAUGGCAGAAAGACUUUUAGAAGCAUCUCUAAUGGGGUUCUCUCUAUUUCUUGCAAUGAUGGCAGAUAGACUGCACUACCAUAUGAAAGAACUUUAUCGCUUAAGGGAGGAGAUGGAACAGGUGAAAAAAUCAAAACAGGAAUAUGGAAGUAAGGAAAGUUGGAGAAUGGGGGAGAAUGAAGGGGGAAAAGUUAAAGAGCCAGAAACUGUCUCCAAAAGAAAGGCAAGGACACCAUUGAAUGCUUGAUGAGAAAUCAUAGUGGCUUAAAAGAAUCAAGAAAUGAGGCC